UACAGAGGUGGCAAACGUUGUCCGGAUUUAUUGGGUGUAAAGGGCAUGUAGGCGGUCUUGUAAGUCAAAGGUGAAAUGGCCCGGCUUAACCAGGUCAUUGCCUUUGAAACUGCAGGGCUUGAGUACGGAAGAGGAUCGCGGAAUUCCCGGUGUAGAGGUGAAAUUCGUAGAUAUCGGGAGGAACACCAGUGGCGAAGGCGGCGAUCUGGGCAGAUACUGACACUGAGGUGCGAAAGCGUGGGGAGCAAACAGG
This 253-nucleotide ribosomal RNA is filed under the name uncultured prokaryote. RNAcentral's name for it is "partial 16S ribosomal RNA". It matches the Rfam family "Bacterial small subunit ribosomal RNA", at positions 524 to 776 of the family's 1533-position model. The record is from RNAcentral.